RNAcentral lists this ribosomal RNA (208 nucleotides) under uncultured bacterium. RNAcentral describes it as "partial 16S ribosomal RNA". It matches the Rfam family "Bacterial small subunit ribosomal RNA", at positions 568 to 774 of the family's 1533-position model. The record is from RNAcentral.
UGCGUAGGCGGGUCUUUAAGUCAGGGGUGAAAUCCUGGAGCUCAACUCCAGAACUGCCUUUGAUACUGAGGAUCUUGAGUCCGGGAGAGGUGAGUGGAACUGCGAGUGUAGAGGUGAAAUUCGUAGAUAUUCGCAAGAACACCAGUGGCGAAGGCGGCUCACUGGCCCGGUACUGACGCUGAGGCACGAAAGCGUGGGGGAGCAAACA